AAGUUAUUAAUUAUUGUUAUUGUUAUUAAAAGUUUUUAUUAGAUUAAUAAAAAUAAUUUUAAUUUAAUUUAGUUAAAGUAUAUUUUAAAGAAAAAAUUUUGGAUAAUUAUAGAAAAUUAGUAUUGUAAAAGAAUUUUGAAAUAUUAUUAAAUUUUAAUUUUUUAAAAAGUAAAUUUAAUUUAUUGUACCUUGUGUAUCAGGGUUUAUUAAUUAAAAAAUAUUUAAUUUUAUUUUUCUCGAAUUUAAAAGAUCUAUUUUAAUAUAAUUUUUAUUGUAAAAUAAAUAUUUUUAAUAUUAAAAUAGAAAUGAGAUGUUAUUCGUUUUUAAAUAUAUCUAGUUUUUUAAUAAAUGAAUUUAAUUCAGAUAUUAUUUAAAUAUAUAAUUUUUUUUUUGUUAAUUAUAAAUUAAUAUUAAUAUUUUAAGGGAUAAGCUUUGAAAUAUAACUUUAAAAUUUAUAAAUUUAUUAAUUUAUUUAUAUAAGCUUAGAAAUAGUUUUUAUUUUAAAAAUGUUAUAAUUUUAAUAAAUUGAAAUAAUUAAUUAAGAUUUUUAUGGGAUUUAAUAUUUUAUUAAAAUAAAUUAUUUAAUUUGAAAUUUAAUUGAAAUAAUGAUAAAAUUAGUAAAUAAAAUUUUUGUUAAUUUGUUUAAUUUAAUUAAAAGUUAUUUAUAGGAAUUCGGCAAAAAUUAUACUCACCUGUUUAACAAAAACAUGUCUUUUUGAUUAAUAAAUAAUUUAAAGUCUAAUCUGCUCUAUGAAUUUAAUUUUAAAUGGCCGCAGUAUUUUGACUGUGCAAAGGUAGCAUAAUAAUUAGUCUUUUAAUUAAAGGCUGGAAUGAAUGAUUUGAUGAGGUAUAAUCUUUCUUUAAUUAAUUUAAUAUUGAAUUUAAUUUUUAAGUUAAAAAGCUUAAAUUUAUUUAAAGGACGAGAAGACCCUAUAGAGUUUUAUAAUUUUAAUUAUACAUAUUUUUAAUUUUAAUUUGUAUAUUUUUAAUUAUUUUGUUGGGGUGACAAAAAAAUUUAUUUAACUUUUUAUUUAUUAUAAUCAUUGAUUUAUGAAUUUUUGAUCCUUUUUUUAAGAUUAAGAGUUUAAAUUACCUUAGGGAUAACAGCGUUAUUUUUUUUAGAGUUCUUAUCAAUAGAAAAGAUUGCGACCUCGAUGUUGGAUUAAAAUUUAAUUUAGGUGAAGAAGCUUAAAAUUUAGGUCUGUUCGACCUUUGAAAUUUUACAUGAUCUGAGUUCAAACCGGUGUAAGCCAGGUUGGUUUCUAUCCUUAAAAAAUUAUAAAUUUUUAGUACGAAAGGACCAAGAUUUAGAAUUAAAUUUAAUUUUAAGAAAUUUAUUAAUUUAUUAAGUAAAAUUUAAA
RNAcentral lists this ribosomal RNA (1361 nucleotides) under Fenusa (Kaliofenusa) sp. 2 GYN-2022b. RNAcentral's name for it is "16S ribosomal RNA". Lineage: Eukaryota; Metazoa; Arthropoda; Insecta; Hymenoptera; Tenthredinidae. The record is from RNAcentral.